Molecule: ribosomal RNA, 889 nt
Filed under: uncultured bacterium
Lineage: Bacteria
Description: bacterial SSU rRNA
Rfam family: Bacterial small subunit ribosomal RNA
Source: RNAcentral
AGAGUUUGAUCCUGGCUCAGGAUGAACGCUGGCGGCGUGCCUAAUACAUGUAAGUCGAACGGAUUACUAGCAAUAGUGAUUAGUGGCGAACGGGUGAGUAACGCGUUGGUGACCUGCCCCGAAGAGAGGGAUAACAGAUCGAAAGGUCUGCUAAUACCGCAUAAUCUCUUUAUGAUUAGAGGAAUAAAGAGGAAAGCAGAAAUGCACUUUGGGAGGGGCCUGCGUCCCAUCAGCUAGUUGGUAGGGUAAAAGCCUACCAAGGCGACGACGGGUAGGGGACCUGAGAGGGUGGCCCCCCACACUGGCACUGAAACACGGGCCAGACGCCUACGGGUGGCAGCAGUAGGGAAUAUUGCACAAUGGGCGAAAGCCUGAUGCAGCAACGCCGCGUGCACGAUGAAGGCCUUCGGGUCGUAAAGUGCUUUUCGGGGAGAUGAGGAAGGACAGUAUCCCCGGAAUAAGGCUCGGCUAACUACGUGCCAGCAGCCGCGGUAACACGUAGGAGCCAAGCGUUAUCCGAAUUCACUGGGCGUAAAGCGCGUGCAGGCGGCCCGGUAAGUUGGAUGUGAAAUCUCCUGGCUUAACUGGGAGAGGACGUUCAAUACUGUCGGGCUAGAGGGCGAGAGAGGGAGGUGGAAUUCCCGGUGUAGUGGUGAAAUGUGUAGAUAUCGGGAGGAACACCAGUGGCGAAAGCGGCCUCCUGGGUCGCACCUGACGCUCAGACGCGAAAGCUAGGGGAGCAAACGGGAUUAGAAACCCCGGUAGUCCUAGCUGUAAACGAUGUUGACUUGGCGUGGGUGGUGUAAAAGCCAUCCGUGCCGAAGCGAACGCGAUAAGUCAACCGCCUGGGGACUACGGCCGCAAGGUUAAAACUCAAAGGAAUUGACGG